UAAGACAAAGCCACUACACAUUGCAGUUUGGCAGUAUUCAGUUGUGCUGGAGAAUAAAGGGUUACAUAAAAAAAAAACUAAACAGAAAAUUGUCCAAUCAGGAUUGAUCUCUCAUCUUGGCAGAUACAGCUCAAUCAGCUCUCCCAUUGGUUAGAACUUAACUGGUAGAAUGAAGGGUUACUGUAGUGGAAGUAAGCUAAAAUAAAGAGAAGUUAAAUUCUCAGAUAUUACAGAAAAGCAUUUAGUAAUGACAACAAAAAAGCAAGAUUUAACAGGGAAAACUAAACCAAAUAUGACGCCCUUUCCAGUGCAGUGCGAUGAUGACUGAUUCCUUCAUUUCUCUCUUCAUAUCUUUUAUCAACCCCUGGUUAAGGAGAGAUUUUUCUCAGAUGUGAACACACCUAGAGUACCGUAUUUUUCACAUUAUAAGGUGCACCUAAAAUCAUAAAUUUUUUAAACAAAAAUCAUCAGUGCGCCUUGUAAUCCGUUGCACUUUAUGUAUAAAUUUUACAAGUCAGGUUAUAGGGAGCAGUAAAGCCAGUAAAGCCGCUAAAGUACAGUGUUUUAGUUUAGUUCUACAGCACCGAGACUUAAGACUGGAACAAUGUUAGCAUUAGCUGCUAACUGUGCUAAGCGCUAGCUCUUUUGCUGUUCACAGGUGAAUAUUACUGGCCUGUAGCUAGCUAGCUGGUGGUGGUCGUCAUGAUUACCACAGGAGGGAGGCCACUGGCUUCAGAACUCUGUGACAUCACACCACGCAGUCAAAAAGCAAGAGUUCCAAAAGCAGCAGUUCCACUCAGGAGGCAGGAGUUGAGAGAGGAAGUGAGUGAGGAAGGCUAGUUUUCUGCUUUUGUUCAGAACAACUUCUUUCUAUAAAUGACAGCGAUGGAAUCGGUUUCAGAAAUUAAUCUGAACCAGAGGCCAGUUCAGCGCCGGUUUAAGCUGAACAGAGAGAGCUGGAUCAACAUCCUCCAGCGUGGGCAGAACCAAAGUCCUCCUAUAAUGGACAGAAAACAUGCCCACAAAAUCUCAACCAAAAUGCCUGUAACUGUUGACUCUGAGAUUAAUUAGACAAUCAACAGGUCUAUUAAACACAGGCUGCAGAAUGAGGAUGAAGUCAUCCGGGAGAGUUCUGCAAAAAGGAAGGUGUUGGAGAAGACAGCAAGGAGACUUGAGAUCUCCAUAAAACAAUCCACCAGGAAGUGGAAGAGCACUGACUCCGAUAAAGAUACAGCACCACUGAAGAAACCUGAGACCUGUCUGAGCAAAGAAUUCUUCAGUAGUGUUCCUGUAAAGAGAACAGUCUUCAUUGUGUAUCCCGUUGCUCCGAUUGAGAGACGUGGCUGCAAGCGUCGCCGUAGGCCGAACACAAACGGCCAUCCAUGUCCUGCAAAACAAGCUCGACAUGGACAAGCAGAGCUUCCUUCAAUAAAUGGAGAAGACAUAAAGAUUAUUGAUGAACUGUCCAGAUGCUUUUCACUCCUGAGGGUUACUGAAUAAUCAUUCGGGGCUGUUCCCCCCGGAUGCCCAGGCCAGGCGACGCCCCUGAGUGAACACAUCAUCACAGAUCCUGCCUCUACUUCAGCAUUAAAUAUGCUGGCUAUGAAUUUUA
This is a long non-coding RNA of Astyanax mexicanus (Mexican tetra), 1612 nucleotides long. RefSeq lists it as uncharacterized. The transcript has 5 exons. The record is from RefSeq and is a predicted model, not a curated record. Lineage: Eukaryota; Metazoa; Chordata; Actinopteri; Characiformes; Acestrorhamphidae.